Long non-coding RNA from Dendroctonus ponderosae (mountain pine beetle), 478 nucleotides. RefSeq lists it as uncharacterized. The record is from RefSeq and is a predicted model, not a curated record. NCBI's taxonomy places the organism in Eukaryota, Metazoa, Arthropoda, Insecta, Coleoptera, Curculionidae. The transcript is spliced from 3 exons.
GUCGGGCUGCCACUGCACUGUUGCCGGUUUCAGGGAAAAAUCGUCAAGAGCGCAGCUGGAAAAGGAGCACUACCAGCGCGAACGUGACCGCUACUACCGCGAAAAGCAGCAGCUGCAGCUGCCGCAGCCCUACAAGCAAGUCAACUAUGCGGAGCAGCCGUUUGGCGGCGAAAGAGUGUUUGUGGAGCGGAAGAUCGAAGAGGUGCGAGUGCGGCAUGAGCGCAAGCACAAGGAGGACAAAUCCAAAGAGGGGAGCCGAAGCCACAGCAAAGAGGGCCUGGAGAGGCACAAGCGCGAGCGCCCCGAUGAGGAGAAGCGAGCGAGUAAAACGCUGGCUGACUUGAGGGAGCGACUUACAACCGAAUUGAGGUUUGUAUUGAAUUACGAAAAUGAAAAUACAUUUUUGUGACAUGAUUUGUGUGAUUGCGCCUGCGCAAUAAUUUGCAAACACCCUGUAGAUUUUUCAAGUUUUUUUCGU